This is a non-coding RNA of Parelaphostrongylus tenuis, 76 nucleotides long. The record is from the annotation of a GenBank genome assembly. Lineage: Eukaryota; Metazoa; Nematoda; Chromadorea; Rhabditida; Metastrongylidae.
AGCGCUGGUAGUGCAGUUGGUUAUGCACACGAUCCCGGAAAGGUUGCAUUGCAGGUUCAAGUCCUGACUUACGUCA